UACGUAGGGGGCAAGCGUUGUCCGGAUUUAUUGGGCGUAAAGAGCGUGUAGGCGGCCAGGUAGGUCUGGUGUGAAAACUCGAGGCUUAACCUCGAGAUGUCAUCGGAAACCAUCUGGCUAGAGUCCGGAAGAGGAGAGUGGAAUUCCUGGUGUAGCAGUGAAAUGCGCAGAUAUCAGGAAGAACACCAAUGGCGAAAGCAGCUCUCUGGGACGGUACUGACGCUGAGACGCGAAAGCGUGGGGAGCGAACAGG
RNAcentral lists this ribosomal RNA (253 nucleotides) under uncultured bacterium. Its description in RNAcentral is "partial 16S ribosomal RNA". It matches the Rfam family "Bacterial small subunit ribosomal RNA", at positions 524 to 776 of the family's 1533-position model. The record is from RNAcentral.